Molecule: ribosomal RNA, 513 nt
Filed under: uncultured bacterium
Lineage: Bacteria
Description: bacterial SSU rRNA
Rfam family: Bacterial small subunit ribosomal RNA
Source: RNAcentral
AGGGGUUUGAUUCCUGGGCUCAGAGCGAACGUUAGCGGCGGGCCUAACACAUGCAAGUCGGACGAGAAAAUCCCUUCGGGGGUGAGUAAAGUGGCGCACGGGUGAGGAACGCGUAGGUAAUCUACCCUCGGGCGGGGGACAACACUCCGAAAGGAAUGCUAAUACCGCGUAAGACCACGCUCACUAAGGUGAGAGGGGUAAAAGGUGGCCUCUUCUUGAAAGCUACCGCCAGAGGAUGAGCCUGCGUCCCAUCAGCUUGUUGGUAAGGUAACGGCUUACCAAGGCUAAGACGGGUAGCUGGUCUGAGAGGAUGAUCAGCCACACUGGCACUGGAACACGGGCCAGACUCCUACGGGAGGCAGCAGUGAGGAAUAUUGGGCAAUGGGCGCAAGCCUGACCCAGCCACGCCGCGUGAGUGAUGAAGGCCUUCGGGUCGUAAAGCUCUGUGGGGAGGGACGAAAACUUCCAUUCCGAAUAGGGUGGAAACUUGACGGUACCUCCUUAGCAAGCACC